RNAcentral lists this ribosomal RNA (322 nucleotides) under uncultured Gammaproteobacteria bacterium. Its description in RNAcentral is "bacterial SSU rRNA". It matches the Rfam family "Bacterial small subunit ribosomal RNA", at positions 164 to 489 of the family's 1533-position model. Lineage: Bacteria; Pseudomonadati; Pseudomonadota; Gammaproteobacteria. The record is from RNAcentral.
CUAUACCGCAUAAUGCUACGGCCAAAGAGGGAUCUCGACCUCUGCGUCAAGAUAUGCCUAGGUGGAUUAGCUAGUUGGUGAGGUAAUGGCUCACCAAGGCGACGAUCCCUAGCUGGUCUGAGAGGAUGAUCAGCCACACUGGAACUGAGACACGGUCCAGACUCCUACGGGAGGCAGCAGUGGGGAAUAUUGCACAAUGGGCGAAAGCCUGAUGCAGCCAUGCCGCGUGUAUGAAGAAGGCCUUCGGGNUGUAAAGUACUUUCAGUUGUGAGGAAGGGUGUGUAGUUAAUNNNNGCGCAUCUUGACGUUAGCAACAGAAGAA